UUUGGGAUUUCCACAUUAGCUGCCCUCUCUCCUUGCUCAGCACUGUGCAAUAAUAAAAUUCCUACUUUCUUCCACUACACCCGAUGUUGGAGAUUGGCUUGCUGCACAAGGGGUGAGCGAACUCACUUCAGGUUCAUUAUCAUCAGGAUACAAGUUACCAUCUUAAGCAAGAUGUCCUUUGGAAAACAUCUGGGAAAUGAUCGUUUGUAAUCAUUGGUGUCUUUACCUAACAGCUGCUUUGAGAGCAUAUUCGUAGAAAAACAAGUGCCAGGCCUUACCCACAGGUUUUCUGACGAAGAACCAGGAAAGCCGGUGGUGUAAUUCAGUCUAAGUCUGAAGGCAUGAGAACUGGGAGAGUUGAUGGGGCGAGACAACUUAGUAUCUGGCACGAAGUGGCAACUCGACAUAUAUCACUGCCUCCACCCAUCGCCACAUCCUUCCAAGCUGCCAGGAGCGAGCCC
RNAcentral lists this long non-coding RNA (461 nucleotides) under Equus caballus (horse). Its description in RNAcentral is "lncRNA (ENSECAG00000044085.1)". Lineage: Eukaryota; Metazoa; Chordata; Mammalia; Perissodactyla; Equidae. The record is from RNAcentral.